RNAcentral lists this ribosomal RNA (492 nucleotides) under uncultured bacterium. Its description in RNAcentral is "partial 16S ribosomal RNA". It matches the Rfam family "Bacterial small subunit ribosomal RNA", at positions 29 to 507 of the family's 1533-position model. The record is from RNAcentral.
AGUGAACGCUGGCGGUAGGCCUAACACAUGCAAGUCGAACGGCAGCACAGUAAGAGCUUGCUCUUACGGGUGGCGAGUGGCGGACGGGUGAGGAAUACAUCGGAAUCUACUUUUUCGUGGGGGAUAACGUAGGGAAACUUACGCUAAUACCGCAUACCACCUACGGGUGAAAGCAGGGGAUCUUCGGACCUUGCGCGAUUGAAUGAGCCGAUGUCGGAUUAGCUAGUUGGCGGGGGAAAGGCCCACCAAGGCGACGAUCCGUAGCUGGUCUGAGAGGAUGAUCAGCCACACUGGAACUGAGACACGGUCCAGACUCCUACGGGAGGCAGCAGUGGGGAAUAUUGGACAAAGGGCGCAAGCCUGAUCCAGCCAUACCGCGUGGGUGAAGAAGGCCUUCGGGUUGUAAAGCCCUUUUGUUGGGAAAGAAAAGCAGCAGGUUAAUACCCCGCUGUUCUGACGGUACCCAAAGAAUAAGCACCGGCUAACUUCGUG